GCAUCCCCAGGUUAAGCGGGACCACCCACUGAGUUUAAGCAUAUUACUAAGUGGAGGAAAAGAAACUUACGAGGAUUCCCCUCGUAAUGGCAAGUGAACCGGGAAGAGUGCUUGAAAAUCAGGCAGCCUCACCAUCUGAAUUGUAGUCUGAAGAAGC
Molecule: ribosomal RNA, 157 nt
Filed under: Buxus hildebrandtii
Lineage: Eukaryota; Viridiplantae; Streptophyta; Magnoliopsida; Buxales; Buxaceae
Description: partial 26S ribosomal RNA
Rfam family: Eukaryotic large subunit ribosomal RNA
Source: RNAcentral